This 461-nucleotide ribosomal RNA is filed under the name uncultured bacterium. RNAcentral's name for it is "partial 16S ribosomal RNA". It matches the Rfam family "Bacterial small subunit ribosomal RNA", at positions 29 to 507 of the family's 1533-position model. The record is from RNAcentral.
ACGCACGCUGGCGGCGUGCUUAACACAUGCCCGUCGAACGGUAAGGCCUUUCGGGGUACACGAGUGGCGAACGGGUGAGUAACACGUGGGUGAUCUGCCCUGCACUUCGGGAUAAGCCCGGGAAACUGGGUCUAAUACCGGAUAGGACUGCGCGGUGCAUGCCGUGUGGUGGAAAGAUUUAUCGGUGCAGGAUGGGCCCGCGGCCUAUCAGCUUGUUGGUGGGGUAAUGGCCUACCAAGGCGACGACGGGUAGCCGGCCUGAGAGGGCGACCGGCCACACUGGGACUGAGACACGGCCCAGACUCCUACGGGAGGCAGCAGUGGGGAAUAUUGCACAAUGGGCGCAAGCCUGAUGCAGCGACGCCGCGUGAGGGAUGACGGCCUUCGGGUUGUAAACCUCUUUCAGCAGGGACGAAGCGUGAGUGACGGUACCUGCAGAAGAAGCACCGGCCAACUACGUG